CCUACGGGUGGCUGCAGUGAGGAAUAUUGGUCAAUGGGCGCGAGCCUGAACCAGCCAAGUAGCGUGAAGGAUGACUGCCCUACGGGUUGUAAACUUCUUUUAUCAAGGAAUAAAGUGAGGCACGUGUGCCGUUUUGAAAGUACUUGAUGAAUAAGGAUCGGCUAACUCCGUGCCAGCAGCCGCGGUAAUACGGAGGAUCCGAGCGUUAUCCGGAUUUAUUGGGUUUAAAGGGGGCGGAGAUGGGUUGUUAAGUCAGUGGUGAAAGUGUGGGGCUCAACCGUCAACUUGCAAUUGAUACUGGCAGUCUUGAGUACAGUUGAGGUAGGCGGAAUUCGUGGUGUAGCGGUGAAAUGCAUAGAUAUCACGAAGAACUCCGAUUGCGAAGGCAGCAUACUAACCUGCAACUGACACUGAUGCUCGAAAGUGUGGGUAUCAAACAGGAUUAGAUACCCCGGUAGUC
This 460-nucleotide ribosomal RNA is filed under the name uncultured bacterium. Its description in RNAcentral is "partial 16S ribosomal RNA". It matches the Rfam family "Bacterial small subunit ribosomal RNA", at positions 338 to 795 of the family's 1533-position model. The record is from RNAcentral.